RNAcentral lists this long non-coding RNA (8295 nucleotides) under Ananas comosus (pineapple). Its description in RNAcentral is "long non-coding RNA (ACOM_LNC004522)". The record is from RNAcentral. Lineage: Eukaryota; Viridiplantae; Streptophyta; Magnoliopsida; Poales; Bromeliaceae.
AGAGACGGCGGCAGAGAGUAAGCCCAUCCGCGAUCGAAAGCUGGGAUAGUUCAAUGCGGGGGUCAGCGGCUAGCGCCCUGUUAAGAUUUAUCAUGGUCUCCGUAUACACCAGAGCUUCUGGAGGCAGAGGCUCGUCCUCUGGCGAAGGUGCCACCGAUCCGCACCACAGGGUAUUGUCGUACGCGACGACUCCUCCCACCCUCACCAGCUGCAGAAUCCUCUCGUGGUAAUGAAUGUAGUUAUCUUUAUCGGCGUCCACAAACACAAAAUCAAAUGUCCCCUUGUUCUCCUCCUGCGCGACAAACAUUAAACUUAUCAUAUAAGUCGAAAAAUAGAGAAAGAAAGAAAGGCUUGAUAAGUACAGGCUCUUGUCUUCUCCAUUACCUUCGACACCAGUUGGUCAAGAAUAGGCAUGGCGGGGCCUUCGCGGAAGUCGAUUUUGUGGGCCACUCCAGCCUUCUGAAUCACCGGAAGGCCCAGCGAGUAGUUCUGCCGGUUGAUAUCCAAUGCCAGUAUCUAAGCACAACCGAAUUAACCCAUAACUAAGCAAGUUCAAAUAAUUUUUCUCAGAGUAGAACCAACAAAAGGGUGUAGAUUAUACAAACCUGCCCAUCAUCAGGGAGGGCGAGGGCGGUGGCGAGGAGGGAGUAGCCGGUGAAGACACCGAUCUCCAUCGCCUUCUUCGCAUUCAUCAGCUUCAGCAACAUGCUGAUGAGCUGGACCUCAUCGGGCGUCGAGGCCAUGCCACCCCUGUAAGAUGCAAAAUAUAAAAAGUUAAGCUUCUGGUUAUAACAAAGCAAGAGAGCUUCAAUUUUGAUUCUUUAAUGGUUCAAUUUUAACAUCUAGAUCUUCAAUUUUAAAGUUUUAUCUGAAGCAGUAUAGCAAGAGGACAUAUAAGAUCUAAUUGUAAAAACUGACUCAUAAGAUUUAAUUGGAACUAAAAGGAUAUGCUAUAGAACACUAUAUUAACGCUUCUUUUUUUUUCCCCUUUUGUUCUUUAUGCAAAUUGAGAUAAAAUAUAAAAUCAAAAAGCCGUUCCAUAAGAGAUUAAUGUACCAGGGGUGCUUCGCUGUGAUGCGGCGGAGCUCUUUCAUCCACGGUGCCUCGCGGGGGUACACACUUGUGUUCAAUAUGUACUGCAAAAUUUUUUUUUUUUUUUUAGUUGUAUGCAAAUAACAAGGUUACAUCAAGUGCAGUCACUUUUCUGAUUGAUUAUUAGAAACUUUUAAUGAUCAUUCUUAAACACUUCACAUGAAUAAAAAAAUAACUUAAUACCUAGACUCACUAAAUGAGUUAUAAGAAUACUUCACUUUCUAUUAUUUAAUUAGUCAAACUCUUUAUUGAACUCGAAAUUUCAAACAAUAGUCGACAUCAAUUUAAAUCUCCAUUUAAUCGGCAAAUUCCUCCUCCCUUAAACGGCCAAUAUUUUCCAUUCUUUUGAAAAAAAGAAAAAUUUCGCACCAUUUUUUAAAUUUCUAAGAUUACUUCCUAUUAACACUUGUACAAAAACACCUUUUUUUUUUUCUAGAUUUUAUUUCCUAUUAACCCAACGUAGGAAUUAACAUUAAAUUUUUCUUUAAAAAUAUAUGAAAUUUAAUGAAAUAUUCGAUUAGUGCUAAAAAUACGAAAAAGUUGUUGAAUCCAGCGACAUAACUUUACUAAAAAAAACAAAAAAAAAAAAAUCAAAACAAAAAAGAAAAGAGAUGAUGAUGAAUCUCACCGACCUGAAAGAGAGCGUGGCUUUUGAGGAGGGUUUUGUGGUCGGUCGGCGACUCUUCGUCCCUCGUCGUCUCCGUCGCGGCGGCGGCGGCGGCGGCGUCGUCAUCGUUCGCCAUUUCCCUCUUCUUCUCCUUCUUCGCCCUUUUUUUUGAUCUCUCCUCCUCCUCCUCCUUCCUCCUCCUCCUCUCUCUCUCUAAUUUUCUUUUUUUUUUUUUCUAUAUUUCUCUUGCUCUUAUAUAAUAUAUAUAAAAAUUAUUAUUCUUAGCGUUCAUACAAAGCGUAUGAACAUCGUAAACGAGGUAGAACGGGUACAAAGAGAACCGGUUUUCCGAGGCCUACUGUGUCAGAGUUCUAGAAUAGCACUUUCGUUGCCGAAUGCCUACAAAAGCAUAGAAGAAAAUCAAAAGAAAAUUUUCAAGAAUCACAUUUUGAAACGGCAUUUGUUCUGCUCUUUUACCCGACCUCUUUCUGAAAAAAAGAAUAAUUACCAUUCCAAUAUGUUAUUUUUAUUAUAUAUAAUUAAAAACUAUAAAAUUUAUUGGAAGUAUAUAUUAUUUUAAUUUAAUUACUUAUAAUUUGUUUGACUUAAAUGAUUUGAGGGCACUUUGAAUAUAAAGUUUAAGCUAUUUGCUUAUUUUUAUAAAUUUAUAAUUAUUUAAAUGGUAUAAAAUAUACUAACGCAUUUAAAUUUUUUAAAAUUAAAAAGUCGCUGAUUUAUUCAGAUCAAAUAAGUGAAAAGAUCAAACAGUAAAAUUAAGUUUGUAAAGAUUAAAUAGUGGGAUCAAAAAGAGUGAUAAUUGAGAUAAGUUCUAGACAUAUUAAAUAUGCAACGGCUUAAAUUUUAUACUAAAAUAAUUAUUAAGUGGUUUAAACUAAAUAAAUUAGAAGAUGGGACAAAACUUUAAAUUAUAAAAAAUUUAAACAGUGGGAUCAGAACGGGCCACGGUGGAAGCCGGUCUUAUUUUAUAAAUAAAUAAAUUCUAGGCUUCCAGCGUGCGUCCUUUUUUUUGUUGAGAGAAAAAGGUCACAUAAAAAUAAAUUUAUUUGAAAAUAUAAAAUAAUUAAAAUUUAAAUUUAAAAUUUUAAAUAUUAAUUAUUAAAUUUUUUUUAUCACCUGCGCUAGGAACAGUCGGUCACUGUUUAUCAUUUAAAUUUUAUAAUAAUAAUAAUAAUAAUAUACUUCAUAAAAUUUAGUGCAUCGUUAAGUUUUUACUUGUUGCUUAUAAAUUAAAUAGCUAGAUUAAAAGUACGAAGUUAAUGGCGAUUCAACGAAUUAAUAAUGAAUCAUAUACAAAUAAAAAUAUUUUUACAAGUCAUGCUCACAAGAGCCCGCGUGGUAAAGCACGACUUCGCCAAAGUUGCGAGUUACACGUUUAGUUUAACAAACGCAGGGCAGGGAAGGCCCUGUGAAAAGUAGACCCGGCAAUGGCGUAAACAUAUUUUCCAAUCAGGGAGCGUACGCGUUUGUUGAAAUGUAGCUUCUGAUCCACCGUCGGAGCAUUCGCGAGGCGAUCCGCCAAACCGGCCUGCUCCUCGAGCUCUUAGAUGAUGAUGUUCGGGACCGCGGAUCGGCCCUUCCGGAUUCUGCGGUCCUCCUCAGCUUGUCUGAGCUCCACGUCGCGCUCCAGAAGAUCCGGCACCUGAUCAACAAUUGCUCGCGGCUUUUGGUCUUGAUGCGGUCCGAAUUCGGCUCAUCGGAUCUCCGCGUCCUCGUCCGGUCGAUCGCAACCGCGAUCGACGUGCUUCCGCUCGACAACGUCAAUGCGGCGGCGGAGGUGAAGGAUUUGGUGCGGCUCCUAUCGAAGCAAGCAUGGAAUGUGGUGAUUGCGACCGAUCCGGAUGUGUUAAAUAUAAAAAUAUUUAAACACCGUUUUCUAACCGUUUAUACUUUUUAGAGUACAACGGUUUCACAGGAGGACAAUCGGGCGGCGAAGAGCAUCCGCUCGAUGAUGCAUCAGCUUAAGAACGGCGUCACACCCGCGGCGAGCGUUCUCGAGCGGGUGUUGAACCAUUUGCAGGUGAGAAGCUGGUCCGACUGCCACGAAGAAAUCGCUUUCUUGUUGCGCUUCUCGGCAGCCUGAUGGCGUUCAUGAUGUAUUGCCGGGCGGUCCUUUUCGACACCGUCAACGGCAAAAGGAGACACAAAAAGGAGCGCGCAUUGCACAGCGAGCAGUGUCUCCGACUGGCUGAAGCAAGAAGCUCUGCAAUGCCCGAUCUCUCUCGAUCUCAUGACCGAUCCCGUGACGAUCGCCACGGGACAGACCUACGAUCGGUCAUCGAUCAAGCGGUGGAUAAAAUCCGGCCGCCUCACUUGCCCUGUAACAGGCGAGAAGCUAACAAACACUGAUUUGGUCCCCAAUUUCGCAAUUCGAAAGCUCGUCGACGAGUUUUGUCGCGAUAAUAGAAUCCCGAUAGCAAAGCCGAACACCAAGCACCGUCAGAGCGUGGAAAAGACGGCCUCGCCCUUCGGCCCAGCUGCGGCCGGAGCAAUCAAAAUGGCCGUCGCUUUCCUAAUCGACAAUCUCGAGAAAGGAACCGUGGAAGAGAAGAAGAAGGCCACUUUCGAGAUCCGAUCCGAAGGGUGGUCUCGAAGUUUAACAUCUUCAAUAGAGCUUUGCUUGGUGGAAGCCGACGCUGUGCCGUGGCUACUCUGCCUCCUCUCGUCGCCGGAUCCUUCCACGCAAGAAAAUGCGGUCGCCGCUCUCUUGAAUCUCUCAAAGCACCCGAACGGUCGUAGGGCGAUCUUCGAAUCUGGCGGCGUCUGCUCGAUCACAGAUGUGAUCAAGACGGGGGCUCACGAUCGAAGCACAGCAGAACGCAGCGGCGAUCCUCUUCUACCUCUCUUCGGUCGAAGAGUACCGAAUAGAGAUCGAAGUGAUCCCCGAAGCGAUCCCGACUUUAGUAGAGCUCCUAACUCGUAAGAGAAGGCAGUUGUUACAGGGGAAAGAAGAACGCAAUCGCCGGCCUCUUCGGGCUUGUCCAAUACCCCGGAAACCACUCAAAGCUCAUCGCGGCAGGGGCUAUUCCGGUUUUCACUAGCCUUCUUUCAAGUGAUAGAGAGGAUCUCGUCGACGAUUCAAUUGCAGCCCUUGAAAAGAUAGCAGAGAGCCGCGAAGGGGCGGCCGCGAUCUUGAUGCGUUCGUCUGUUCCUUGUCUCGUGGAGGUUCUCAACUCAUUGACCUCUCGGUCGGGAAAGGAGCACUGCGUGUCCCUUUUACUCGCUCUAUGUGUUAACGGCGCCGAUAAGGUUGUUAGCCUGCUAGAGAAGAUGCCCGCGCUCGUGUCUUCGUUGUAUUCGCUCGUAACGGAGGGCUCUCCUCAGGCCGGAAAGAAGGCGCGGUCGCUCCUCAAUCACAUUCAUCGGCAUCAAGAGCAGAGUAACCCUCCUCUACUGAGACCGCCGAUCGGCGAUCACGUCAUUCAUGCACACUAAGCUAAAUAACAGCCUCCGCAGUAUUGCUAAAGCCUUUUUUCUUUUUCUUUUUUUUUUGUUAUAAAGUGUUUCUGAUCUCUGCUCGCUUUUUACAAGAGCUGAGAUCAGGAUUAGCGUUUAUAUAUAUACAUACAUAUGUAAAUAGGAUGAUGCAAUUGUUAUGUUGUUAUAUGUUGGCGUGCGUACUUGAGUGUAAAUCCAUCCUUGCGGCAUUUGUUGGUCUCAAUCAAUAAAAGGUUCUGUUGAAGUGUGAGAAUGUUGGUUGUAAAUUAUACCCUCAGUAUAAUAUUCGGGCCUUAUAAAUUAUUAUUGUAUAUAAAUGGCUAGCAGAUGCAAGUAAAAUGUCGUUGAUCUUAUAAUCAACUUAAGCAUAGAUAAGAGGCAUUAUUGACAAGCACAGAUACCAUCAUCAUCACUAAAACAGAGUUCCAUCACAAAAGUAAGAGUCUAAAGAUAAGAGAGACGAAAUUUGAACCAAACAUCUAAAGAAAAAAAAGAGAGACAUCAUCAAUAGAGACGACGGCAGAGAGUGAGCCCGUCGGCGAUCGAAAGCUGCGAUAAUUCAAUGCGGGGGUCAGCGGCUAGUGCCCUGUUAAGAUUUAUCAUGGUCUCCGUAUACACCAGAGCUUCUGGAGGCAGAGGCUCGUCCUCUGGCGAAGGUGCCACCGAUCCGCACCACAGGGUAUUGUCGUACGCGACGACUCCUCCCACCCUCACCAGCUGCAGAAUCCUCUCAUGGUAAUGAAUGUAGUUUUCUUUAUCGGCGUCCACAAACACAAAAUCAAAUGUCCCCUUGUUCUCCUCCUGCGCGACAAGCAUUAAAAUUAUCAUAUAAGUCGAAAAAUAGAGAAAGAAAGAAAGGGUUGAUAUGUAGAGGCUCUUGUUUUCUCCAUUACCUUCGACACCAGUUGGUCGAGAACAGGCAUGGCGGGGCCUUCGCGGAAGUCGAUUUUGUGGGCCACUCCAGCCUUCUGAAUCACCGGAAGGCCCAGCGAGUAGUUCUGCCGGUUGAUAUCCAAUGCCAGUAUCUAAGCACAACCGAAUUAACCCAUAACUAAGCAAGUGCAAAUAAGUUUUUGCCGAGUAGAACCAACAAAAGGUUCUUUAACAGCUUAAAGCUUUUAGAGUACAACGAUUGUUUCACAUGAUAUAUUUAAAACUCCCUAAACAUUUGGGCUCGAGACUUUUUAGUCGGCCCAUGACGUGAGCUUAAAUUAAAUGGGAGGAAAUUAAUAUGUUAGGAGCAUGGCGUGACUCGAACUCAGAACCUUCUGUUCAGAUAUCAUGUGAAACAACCGCUAUACUCUAAAAGCUUACGCGGUUAAAAAAUGAUAUUUAAAUAUUUUUAUAUUUAUUAUUUAACAAGAUUAUACAAACCUGCCCAUCAUCAGGGAGGGCAAGGGCAGUGGCGAGGAGGGAGUAGCCGGUGAAGACACCGAUCUCCAUCGUCUUCUUCGCGUUCAUCAGCUUCAGCAACAUGCCGAUGAACUGGACCUCAUCGGGCGUCGUGGCAAUGACACCCCUGUAAGAUGCAAAAUAUAAAAGCUUAAGCUUCUGGUUAUAACAAAGCAAGAGGGCUCCAAUUUCGAUUCUUUAAUGGUUCAAUUUUAACAUCUAGAUCUUCAAUUUUUAAGUUUUAUUUGAGAGGUCAUAUAAGAUCUAAUUGUAAAAACUGACUCAUAAGAUUAAAUUGGAACUAAAAGGAUAUGCUAUAGAACACUAUAUUAACGCUUCUUUUUUUUUCCCCCUUAUUUUUUAUGCAAAUUGAGAUAAAAUAUAAAAUCAAAAAGCCGAUCCAUAAGGUAGCGUUUGGUUCGAGAACAAGGGAGAGAAUAAGCCCUUGUUCCCCCCUUUGUUCCCAAACGCAGCGUUUGGUACCCGAGAACAGUAGUUUCGGGGUUUAUGGAACUAGCCGGUAUAAGGCUGGAACUGCUGUUCCACCUUUUUCCUGGAACAAGCUUGUUCCCGAAUGAGAACAAGAUUAAUUAAAGUCUAAAUUUAAAUUUUAAUGAUAGUAAAUUAUUAAUUAAUUUAAUUAAUAUAUGUAAAUCAUUAUCCAUUGCUUAAAUAAUAAAAUAAAUAAAUAAAUAAAUUUAAUAAUUUAGAUAAUAAUAAUUAUUAAUUUAAUAAUUAUUAUUUAUUAAUAAUUAUUAUUAAUAAUUAUUAUUCUUAAGAAAUAGAUAAUCGAUAUUAUUAUUAAUUUAUUAUUUAUAAUUAAUUAUUAAUAAUUAGAUAAUUAUUAUUAAUUAAUUUAUUACUUAUAAAUAAUUAUUAGUAAUUAUUAAUAACUAUUUUUAAUUAUUAAUAAUUAUUAAUAAUUAUUAUUCUUAAGAAAUAGAUAAUCGAUAUUAUUAUUAAUUUAUUAUUUAUAAUUAAUUAUUAAUAAUUAGAUAAUUAUUAUUAAUUAAUUUAUUACUUAUAAAUAAUUAUUAGUAAUUAUUAAUAACUAUUUUUAAUUAUUAAUAAUUAUUAAUAAUUAUUAUUCUUAAGAAAUAGAUAAUCGAUAUUAUUAUUAAUUUAUUAUUUAUAAUUAAUUAUUAAUAAUUAGAUAAUUAUUAUUAAUUAAUUUAUUACUUAUAAAUAAUUAUUAGUAAUUAUUAAUAACUAUUUUUAAUUAUUAAUAAUUAUUAAUAAUUAUUAUUCUUAAGAAAUAGAUAAUCGAUAUUAUUAUUAAUUUAUUAUUUAUAAUUAAUUAUUAAUAAUUAGAUAAUUAUUAUUAAUUAAUUUAUUACUUAUAAAUAAUUAUUAGUAAUUAUUAAUAACUAUUAUUAAUUAUUAAUAAUUAUUAUUAUUUAUAAUUAUUUAUUAAUAAUUUAUUUAUUAUUUAUUUUUAAGUAAUAUUUUGAUAUUAAUUAAUUAGAUAAUAUAAUUUUAAUUUUAAAUUAUAAUUUUUAUUUCUCUUGUUCCAAUUUAACCAUCCAAACGCUAUUUAUCUUAUUUAUAGGAACAACUCAAUUUUCAUUCAAACGUAAAAUUGGUUUAGUUUCUGGUUAUAUCUGAACUUGUGCCUAUUUCUGGAACAAGUACUUUUUACUUAUAACCGAACCAAACGCAGAGAGAUUAACGUACCAGGGGUGCUUCUCUGUGAUGCGGCGGAGCUCUUUCAUGCACGGUGCCUCGCGGGGGUACACACUUGUGUUCAA